AACGAACGCUGGCGGCAUGCCUAACACAUGCAAGUCGAACGAGAAAGCUCUUCGGAGUGAGUAGAGUGGCGCACGGGUGAGUAACACGUAGGUGACCUACCAAUUGGCGGGGGAUAACCCGGAGAAAUUCGGGCUAAUACCGCAUACGCACAACAAUUUUGGAAUUAGUUGUGGAAAGGAUGCUUCGGCAUUCACCGGUUGAUGGGCCUGCGCGACAUUAGCUUGAUGGUGGGGUAACGGCCUACCAUGGCAACGAUGUCUAACGGAUUUGAGAGAAUGAUCCGUCACACUGGGACUGAGACACGGCCCAG
Molecule: ribosomal RNA, 311 nt
Filed under: uncultured bacterium
Lineage: Bacteria
Description: bacterial SSU rRNA
Rfam family: Bacterial small subunit ribosomal RNA
Source: RNAcentral